Molecule: transfer RNA, 71 nt
Filed under: Loxodonta africana (African savanna elephant)
Lineage: Eukaryota; Metazoa; Chordata; Mammalia; Proboscidea; Elephantidae
Rfam family: tRNA
About the family: Transfer RNA (tRNA) molecules are approximately 80 nucleotides in length. Their secondary structure includes four short double-helical elements and three loops (D, anti-codon, and T loops). Further hydrogen bonds mediate the characteristic L-shaped molecular structure. tRNAs have two regions of fundamental functional importance: the anti-codon, which is responsible for specific mRNA codon recognition, and the 3' end, to which the tRNAs corresponding amino acid is attached (by aminoacyl-tRNA synthetases). tRNAs cope with the degeneracy of the genetic code in two manners: having more than one tRNA (with a specific anti-codon) for a particular amino acid; and 'wobble' base-pairing, i.e. permitting non-standard base-pairing at the 3rd anti-codon position.
Source: Rfam by way of RNAcentral
GCAGUGGUGGCUCAGUGGUAGAAUUCUCACCUUCCAUGCAGGAGACCUGGGUUCAAUUCCCGGCCAAAGCA